CGAGAUUCCCCCAGUAGCGGCGAGCGAACGGGGAGGAGCCCAGAGCCUGAAUCAGUGUGUGUGUUAGUGGAAGCGUCUGGAAAGGCGCGCGAUACAGGGUGACAGCCCCGUACACAAAAAUGCACAUGCUGUGAGCUCGAUGAGUAGGGCGGGACACGUGGUAUCCUGUCUGAAUAUGGGGGGACCAUCCUCCAAGGCUAAAUACUCCUGACUGACCGAUAGUGAACCAGUACCGUGAGGGAAAGGCGAAAAGAACCCCGGCGAGGGGAGUGAAAAAGAACCUGAAACCGUGUACGUACAAGCAGUGGGAGCACAGAGCAAUCUGUGUGACUGCGUACCUUUUGUAUAAUGGGUCAGCGACUUAUAUUCUGUAGCAAGGUUAACCGAAUAGGGGAGCCGAAGGGAAACCGAGUCUUAACCGGGCGUUAAGUUGCAGGGUAUAGACCCGAAACCCGGUGAUCUAGCCAUGGGCAGGUUGAAGGUUGGGUAACACUAACUGGAGGACCGAACCGACUAAUGUUGAAAAAUUAGCGGAUGACUUGUGGCU
Molecule: ribosomal RNA, 547 nt
Filed under: Escherichia coli
Lineage: Bacteria; Pseudomonadati; Pseudomonadota; Gammaproteobacteria; Enterobacterales; Enterobacteriaceae
Description: partial 23S ribosomal RNA
Rfam family: Bacterial large subunit ribosomal RNA
Source: RNAcentral